UCUGGCUCAGGACGAACGCUGGCGGCGUGCUUAACACAUGCAAGUCGAACGAUGAUGCCCAGCUUGCUGGGUGGAUUAGUGGCGAACGGGUGAGUAACACGUGAGUAACCUGCCCCUGACUCUGGGAUAAGCGUUGGAAACGACGUCUAAUACUGGAUAUGAUCACUGGCCGCAUGGUCUGGUGGUGGAAAGAUUUUUUGGUUGGGGAUGGACUCGCGGCCUAUCAGCUUGUUGGUGAGGUAAUGGCUCACCAAGGCGACGACGGGUAGCCGGCCUGAGAGGGUGACCGGCCACACUGGGACUGAGACACGGCCCAGACUCCUACGGGAGGCAGCAGUGGGGAAUAUUGCACAAUGGGCGAAAGCCUGAUGCAGCAACGCCGCGUGAGGGAUGACGGCCUUCGGGUUGUAAACCUCUUUUAGUAGGGAAGAAGCGAAAGUGACGGUACCUGCAGAAAAAGCACCGGCUAACUACGUGCCAGCAGCCGCGGUAAUACGUAGGGUGCAAGCGUUGUCCGGAAUUAUUGGGCGUAAAGAGCUCGUAGGCGGUUUGUCGCGUCUGCUGUGAAAUCCCGAGGCUCAACCUCGGGCUUGCAGUGGGUACGGGCAGACUAGAGUGCGGUAGGGGAGAUUGGAAUUCCUGGUGUAGCGGUGGAAUGCGCAGAUAUCAGGAGGAACACCGAUGGCGAAGGCAGAUCUCUGGGCCGUAACUGACGCUGAGGAGCGAAAGCAUGGGGAGCGAACAGGAUUAGAUACCCUGGUAGUCCAUGCCGUAAACGUUGGGCGCUAGAUGUAGGGACCUUUCCACGGUUUCUGUGUCGUAGCUAACGCAUAAGCGCC
This 839-nucleotide ribosomal RNA is filed under the name Clavibacter sp. RNAcentral describes it as "bacterial SSU rRNA". It matches the Rfam family "Bacterial small subunit ribosomal RNA", at positions 18 to 868 of the family's 1533-position model. Lineage: Bacteria; Bacillati; Actinomycetota; Actinomycetes; Micrococcales; Microbacteriaceae. The record is from RNAcentral.